This 283-nucleotide long non-coding RNA is filed under the name Oryza sativa Indica Group (long-grained rice). Its description in RNAcentral is "lncRNA OsMH63_07G021200". Lineage: Eukaryota; Viridiplantae; Streptophyta; Magnoliopsida; Poales; Poaceae. The record is from RNAcentral.
AUGGAGACCGACGAGCCGGCGACCAAGGCGGCAGGAGGUGAGCCGAAACCCUCGCCAGCGACCAAGGCGGCGGGAGUCAAAGAGCACGCAGCUGUGUUUGUUGCUUCAGGAGACAGUGGUCCAUCCUUCUUCCGUAGAAAAGACACCGGUUUCAGAGUAUUCAGGAUCAAAUUCCAAGCUUCUUACCUCGGGAGUUUGUUCGCGUCGUCAGCCAUUGUGCGCUGCUUUGAUUUGACGCGCGCGAUUUCUUCGUGCCAUUUGCGACGACUAUGAUUCGCAAGUA